Molecule: long non-coding RNA, 2439 nt
Filed under: Homo sapiens (human)
Lineage: Eukaryota; Metazoa; Chordata; Mammalia; Primates; Hominidae
Description: long non-coding RNA NONHSAT207285.1
Source: RNAcentral
UUUACAGGCAUGAGCCACCCCACCCGGUCAGUGUUUUUGUUUUUUUCGGUCUGGAGUGCAGUGGCGCAAUUUCCACUCACUGUAGCCUCCACCUCCCGAGUUCAAGUGAUUCUCCUGCCUCAGCCUACCGUGUAGCUGGGAUUCCAGGUGCCCGCCACCACGCCCCGCUAAUUUUUGUAUUUUUAGUAGAGACGGGGUUUCACCACGUUGGCCACGAACUCCUGACCUCAAGUGAUCCGCCUGCCUCGGCCUUACAAAGUGCUGGGAUUACAGGCGUGAGCCACCGCACCCGGCCCUCCCCUCUCUGAACAGGAUUGCCUACUCUGUCCUCCGACUCCCAGAGCUUUUCACUGACACCUGGGGACUGCUGGGUCCCUCCUUCUCUCCUAGCCUGCCCAGGGCCACCCCAAGCCUGCAGUAGAUUUUCAUUUAUCUCUGUAAGAACGUUUACAAGGACAUGGAGCAAAUUAGCAUCACACAAAUGACGAUGCUGCAAAUGAGCGGUGUACAGGGUUGGCGGGUGUUGCAGGCAGGUUUCCUGUCGUUGGCGCCACGUGCUGCAGAAAGAGGACCCCUCCCCCUGCGGGCCGCCGCUGCGCCCGUGCAUCCGUCACAGGUACAAUUCGCACCGGAACUUGCGGCCCGGCUUCAUUACGUGAUGCUUUUUAGCUGCUCUGGUUUCUUUUUGUUUUUUCUACUUUUCUCAUUUGUUUGUGUUGUUAGGGACCGCCUAGUGAGAAAUUGAGCUUCAGGCUGCGCAGAUAGAAAGGCCUCUAUAUCUGCAUCCCCACCCCUGUGGGGGUGGCGGGGGGUGGUGGGGGGGUCCUGUCUGAAGUGGUAGGGAAGGAGGGUUUUGAGGUUUUUGACUAUUUGCUUGCAAGUAUCUAAGUAAGAGAUUUGUUUGCCCACAUUUGCACUCUCUUGGCUAGCAACCCGACAAAAUAUUUUCUGAUGGUUUUUCGUGUAUGUGGUUUUUGUUUUUGAGGGAGAGAAUAAUUAACACCUUGGUUAAAUUGUACUGAGAUACAAUGGCUGUUUUUAAAAAUUGCUGUUAACUGAAGGGUUGAAGCUAGUAUAAUUCCCAGGCUCAGCCUCUUGGGAGGCUGAGUCUCCAAUAGCAUAGUCUUCAAUAGACUAUGCUGUGAAUUGUAAUCAGAAAAGAAAAAAAAAUUAGACACGAGCAAAAGCAAUUAAAGUAUUUAUUCUCCAAUAUUCGCAUUUCUGCAUUUGUCAGCAGCUGUGGAACUGUCACAAGAUAUGCUGAUUUGGUUGUGGUAUGUGCCUGUCUGGGGAGGGGAGGAGGAGGAUGAAGGCAGACUGUAAACAAAUCAUUAUUGUAAAGUGAUCAGUGGGUAAUAGAGGCGUGUAUAGAGUGCAUAGAGAAGGGACUCACUCAUUUUAAGCAAUGUUUUUCAAAUGGGGUCACCUCCAUUAGUGAAUCAUGAAGUCCUUUACCAAGUGCCUAACAGCAUUUGAAAAAAUAAAGACAAUAUAGAAUGAAAUACAUCAAGAUGCAUCCUCCAUAGUAGGUUUAGAUAUUUUUUUUUCAAAAACCUUUGUUUCAAUUAUAUAUCUACUGAAUUACAAUGUGAAAUGUGUUUCUUGGGAUUGAGUCUCAAGCAAAGAUGUUUGAAAGCCACUGAGUUAGGCGACGGGAGAAGGCUUCCCAGAGGAGGUGGCAUUGGAGCUGGGCCUUGAAGAAUGGUGGACUUGUGCCACAGGAAAAGGGAAUUCCAGGCAGAUGGGAAAGGAUAUGUCCAAAUCUGGAUCUGUUUGUUCAGGGGCAGGGUAUUCUCUGUAAAGGGACCACAGGGUACUAGGAGAGGACUGGCUCGAGAUGUGCCUGGGGAGGCAGGUGGAGCCAAUUACCGAGCCACUUGAAAGUACAUAUACCACUUCUCAGCUUGCCCUAGAAAUUCCCAUUCUCUGGUUAUGGAUUUGGGUUUGGGAAUCUGUACUUGCAAUAAACAUCCCUGGGCAGUGAGGCAGUGAGGUGCUGAUGAAGGUGUGACACAACCAGCUCUAGAAUCUAGAAAGAUGAUCUUUGUAGCAAUUUGGAUAGGAGAUCAAUGGGAGGCCAAGCAAUAGGCGGACCUGAAUUCAGGUGAUGGUAAUUGGCAAAGAAUUACCAUUGAGGGAGGAUGGUAUUCGAGGGAGAUUUUGGAAGUGAGUUUUGUAGGGACCAAGGGAAAGCUUCACCUCCGCCCUGUGAAAGUUUGCUGAAAAUGAACUGGCAGUAGACAGAUUAAGAGGAGAAAAGACAUAACAAUUUAUUUAAUAUUUAACAUGUAUAGCAUGGGGGAAUAGCAGGAGAAUGAUUACCCAAUAACCCAAUGAGGUCCAGGUGCCUAAGUACCCUUCUUCACAGAAGAAGGGGAGAUGGGGAGUGGAGCAAUUUUUUUUUUUUUUUGAGACGGAGUCUUGCUCUGUCGCCCGGGC